AUUAAAGAUCGUAAUUUAAAGGCAGUACAGAAAUGAAUCAUUGGCCGCGGAAAGUUAAAACUAGAAAGGAAAAAGAAUAACCCGUUAUAUCCCGUACUUGCUCCCCCACCUUUCCUACGCUAUCCACAUCCACAGCCCCCACCUUCUCCUCCAGCGCCCACCGCACCAGAAUUAAAAGAUGAUCCCUCGGGGUCUGGUUUCUUUGAAGAAUAUCAUUAUGAUCCCUCAUUACACACUGAUCCGGGGGAUGACAAAAGUAACGUAAUGGGUGCGGCGGCUGGGUUUCACGAUCCUAGAACCUCCAUUUCACAACGCACUAGAAGUCAAACCCUAUUCCAUCAGCCCCCUAAUCAAAACACCACCUUUCAAUCCCCCUUAAAGUCCCCCAAACCCCCAGGCCCCUUAUUCGAAUGCCCCCUGAUUGAGAUCCCGAAACCCCCGACAUGAUUCAACGCAACCUGCAGGAGCCAAUAACCCCACUACUGUAAUGAUACAUCGUAACUGGGACAUUCAAGAGCUGAAGGACGUUGUGUCCGAAUUGCCUGAUCCCAAAGUCAUCGGUGGGUUUAAAAAAAAAAAAAAAAAAUAAUUCAUAGAACAAUUGCAGCAGCUAUAUGAUAUGUAUAAGCCCAAUGCCACAGAAUGGACUCAGGUGCUGCGGAGAAAGCUUCUCACCACAUGGGCAACUGUAAAUCAUGGACAACAUAACGGAAACCCGUGGCAGUGGAACAAGGCGUUGCCUCAGGGCCGAAAUGAAGGUCCCUUUAUUACGCAAUGGGAGCGUGUUAAAAUAAUGUUAAGGACAAGUAUAAGAAAGGCACAGACUGGUCUCUUAUCUCGGCUGCCAAACAGAAAAAGAA
This is a long non-coding RNA of Erpetoichthys calabaricus (reedfish), 860 nucleotides long. RefSeq lists it as uncharacterized. The transcript is spliced from 2 exons. The record is from RefSeq and is a predicted model, not a curated record. Lineage: Eukaryota; Metazoa; Chordata; Cladistia; Polypteriformes; Polypteridae.